AAGGAGCACCACUAGACCUGCCCCGGCCCCGUAAAUUGCGGGAUCAGCUGAGCGUGAAGCGAUUCGUUGGAUGGCUCGACGUCUGUUGUGAAGGCGGGUCUGGUGCAACAACAAACAUUCUUUGGUCUUUCGGGACUGGCUGCCAAAAACACUAUUGGGCUUUGAGACAACGCGCCCAGCAGGACCCUCGCUCUACGGAAAUUGGGGUUGCCGUCCGUGCGUGUCCCGUUGGGGGCCAGGCCUGUGCUGUUGUCGCCCUGCUUUGGUGGUGGGGUGUGGUGUUUGAUUUGUGGAUAGUGGUUGCGAGCAUCUCCCAUACUCGAAGACUCCGGUCUCGUGAGAGGUUGGGGUGUUGUUGUGUGUGUUUGAUGUGCAAUUUCUUUUUUUCUUUUUCUGGUUUUUUGUGUUGUAAGUGUUUAAGGGCGCAUGGUGGAUGCCUUGGAAUUACGAGCCAAUGAACGACGUGGGAGGCUGAGAUGUGCCUCGGGGAGCUG
Molecule: unclassified non-coding RNA, 494 nt
Filed under: Mycolicibacterium cosmeticum
Lineage: Bacteria; Bacillati; Actinomycetota; Actinomycetes; Mycobacteriales; Mycobacteriaceae
Description: partial contains 16S-23S ribosomal RNA intergenic spacer, and 23S ribosomal RNA
Source: RNAcentral